RNAcentral lists this ribosomal RNA (1290 nucleotides) under Halomonas alkalicola. RNAcentral describes it as "bacterial SSU rRNA". It matches the Rfam family "Bacterial small subunit ribosomal RNA", at positions 118 to 1404 of the family's 1533-position model. Lineage: Bacteria; Pseudomonadati; Pseudomonadota; Gammaproteobacteria; Oceanospirillales; Halomonadaceae. The record is from RNAcentral.
UAGAAAUCUGCCCGGUAGUGGGGGAUAACCUGGGGAAACCCAGGCUAAUACCGCAUACGUCCUACGGGAGAAAGCAGGGGAUCUUCGGACCUUGCGCUAUCGGAUGAGUCUAUGUCGGAUUAGCUUGUUGGUGAGGUAAUGGCUCACCAAGGCGACGAUCCGUAGCUGGUCUGAGAGGAUGAUCAGCCACAUCGGGACUGAGACACGGCCCGAACUCCUACGGGAGGCAGCAGUGGGGAAUAUUGGACAAUGGGCGAAAGCCUGAUCCAGCCAUGCCGCGUGUGUGAAGAAGGCCUUCGGGUUGUAAAGCACUUUCAGUGGGGAAGAAAGCCUUGGGGCUAAUACCCUCGAGGAAGGACAUCACCCACAGAAGAAGCACCGGCUAACUCCGUGCCAGCAGCCGCGGUAAUACGGAGGGUGCGAGCGUUAAUCGGAAUUACUGGGCGUAAAGCGCGCGUAGGCGGUCUGAUAAGCCGGUUGUGAAAGCCCCGGGCUCAACCUGGGAACGGCAUCCGGAACUGUCAGGCUAGAGUGCAGGAGAGGAAGGUAGAAUUCCCGGUGUAGCGGUGAAAUGCGUAGAGAUCGGGAGGAAUACCAGUGGCGAAGGCGGCCUUCUGGACUGACACUGACGCUGAGGUGCGAAAGCGUGGGUAGCAAACAGGAUUAGAUACCCUGGUAGUCCACGCCGUAAACGAUGUCGACUAGCCGUUGGGCUCCUUGAGAGCUUUGUGGCGCAGUUAACGCGAUAAGUCGACCGCCUGGGGAGUACGGCCGCAAGGUUAAAACUCAAAUGAAUUGACGGGGGCCCGCACAAGCGGUGGAGCAUGUGGUUUAAUUCGAUGCAACGCGAAGAACCUUACCUACCCUUGACAUCGUGCGAACUUUCCAGAAAUGGAUUGGUGCCUUCGGGAACGCACAGACAGGUGCUGCAUGGCUGUCGUCAGCUCGUGUUGUGAAAUGUUGGGUUAAGUCCCGUAACGAGCGCAACCCUUGUCCUUAUUUGCCAGCGAGUAAUGUCGGGAACUCUAAGGAGACUGCCGGUGACAAACCGGAGGAAGGUGGGGACGACGUCAAGUCAUCAUGGCCCUUACGGGUAGGGCUACACACGUGCUACAAUGGCCGGUACAAAGGGUUGCGAAGCCGCGAGGUGGAGCUAAUCCCGAAAAGCUGGUCUCAGUCCGGAUCGGAGUCUGCAACUCGACUCCGUGAAGUCGGAAUCGCUAGUAAUCGUGAAUCAGAAUGUCACGGUGAAUACGUUCCCGGGCCUUGUACACACCGCCCGUCACACCA